Molecule: long non-coding RNA, 72 nt
Filed under: Pan troglodytes (chimpanzee)
Lineage: Eukaryota; Metazoa; Chordata; Mammalia; Primates; Hominidae
Description: lincRNA
Source: RNAcentral
GGCAAGACCGAAUUCAGAAGGAUAUCGACGUCGUGAUCCAGAAGUCCAGAGCUGAGGACUGCCUGUUUGCAG